CCGAGUUUACAACUCCCAAACCCCUGUGAACAUACCACUUGUUGCCUCGGCGGAUCAGCCCGCUCCCGGUAAACGGGACGGCCCGCCAGAGGACCCCUAAACUCUGUUUCUAUCAUGUAACUUCUGAGUAAAACCAUAAAUAAAUCA
Molecule: unclassified non-coding RNA, 147 nt
Filed under: soil metagenome
Description: partial internal transcribed spacer 1
Source: RNAcentral